RNAcentral lists this ribosomal RNA (250 nucleotides) under uncultured bacterium. RNAcentral's name for it is "partial 16S ribosomal RNA". It matches the Rfam family "Bacterial small subunit ribosomal RNA", at positions 524 to 773 of the family's 1533-position model. The record is from RNAcentral.
UACGGAGGUGGCAAGCGUUGUUCGGAAUUACUGGGCGUAAAGGGCGCGUAGGCGGCUAAUCAAGUCAGAUGUGAAAGCCCCGGGCUCAACCCGGGAAUUGCAUCUGAAACUGUUUAGCUUGAGUUCUGGAGGGGGUAGUGGAAUUCCCAGUGUAGCGGUGAAAUGCGUAGAUAUUGGGAGGAACACCUGCGGCGAAGGCGGCUACCUGGACAGUGACUGACGCUGAGGCGCGAAAGCUAGGGGAGCAAAC